GGAGAGGUGGCCGAGUGGCCGAAGGCAACGGUUUGCUAAACCGUCACAGGGUCAAAAGCCUUGUCGCGGGUUCAAAUCCCGCCCUCUCCGCCA
This 93-nucleotide transfer RNA is filed under the name Nitrospira sp. RNAcentral describes it as "tRNA-Ser". It matches the Rfam family "tRNA". Rfam says of the family: Transfer RNA (tRNA) molecules are approximately 80 nucleotides in length. Their secondary structure includes four short double-helical elements and three loops (D, anti-codon, and T loops). RNAcentral also lists the same sequence under 2 other names. Lineage: Bacteria; Pseudomonadati; Nitrospirota; Nitrospiria; Nitrospirales; Nitrospiraceae. The record is from RNAcentral.